RNAcentral lists this long non-coding RNA (265 nucleotides) under Phoenix dactylifera (date palm). RNAcentral describes it as "long non-coding RNA (PDAC_LNC006326)". The record is from RNAcentral. Lineage: Eukaryota; Viridiplantae; Streptophyta; Magnoliopsida; Arecales; Arecaceae.
UGUAACAAUAAAAAUGAUCAAAUCUAAAAUUUCUAUUGAAUUUCAGAAUUUGGCACAUAGAAUUUCAGAAUUUGGCACAUACCUUUCACACCUCGAUACAUAAUCUGAAACUCAUGCUUUAUCUCAAAUUUUUGAAGUUUUAUCUUUAAUGAAAUAUAAAUGAAAGGGGGAGCAAUUCAAAAAGUCAAAUUGGAAACAUUUGGAUGAAAUAGGGGGAGACUUCACUCUCAUAUUUGAAAAGCUGAAAUUCAGCAACUUGAGCCCU